Molecule: non-coding RNA, 28 nt
Filed under: Macaca fascicularis (crab-eating macaque)
Lineage: Eukaryota; Metazoa; Chordata; Mammalia; Primates; Cercopithecidae
Also listed under: 6 other names
Source: RNAcentral
UGUUAACCGAAAGGUUGGUGGUUCGAGC